UCGAGAAUUUUUCACAAUGGGGGAAACCCUGAUGGAGCGACGCCGCGUGGAGGACGAAGGCCUUCGGGUCGUAAACUCCUGUCAUGCGGGAACAAGAAAGUGAUAGUACCGCAAGAGGAAGGGACGGCUAACUCUGUGCCAGCAGCCGCGGUAAUACAGAGGUCCCAAGCGUUGUUCGGAUUCAUUGGGCGUAAAGGGUGCGUAGGUGGCGAUGUAAGUCUGGUGUGAAAUCUCAGGGCUCAACCUUGAAAUUGCAUUGGAUACUGCGUUGCUUGAGGAUUGUAGAGGAGAGUGGAAUUCACGGUGUAGCAGUGAAAUGCGUAGAUAUCGUGAGGAAGACCAGUUGCGAAGGCGACUCUCUGGGCAAUUCCUGACACUGAGGCACGAAGGCCAGGGGAGCAAACGGG
Molecule: ribosomal RNA, 407 nt
Filed under: Acidobacteriota bacterium
Lineage: Bacteria; Pseudomonadati; Acidobacteriota
Description: Acidobacteria bacterium partial 16S ribosomal RNA
Rfam family: Bacterial small subunit ribosomal RNA
Source: RNAcentral